Molecule: ribosomal RNA, 412 nt
Filed under: uncultured bacterium
Lineage: Bacteria
Description: bacterial SSU rRNA
Rfam family: Bacterial small subunit ribosomal RNA
Source: RNAcentral
CUACCAUGCAGUCGACGCACCGCAAGGUGAGUGGCAGACGGGUGAGUAACGCGUGGGAACGUACCCUUUACUACGGAAUAACUCAGGGAAACUUGUGCUAAUACCGUAUGUGCCCUUCGGGGGAAAGAUUUAUCGGUAAAGGAUCGGCCCGCGUUGGAUUAGCUAGUUGGUGAGGUAAAGGCUCACCAAGGCGACGAUCCAUAGCUGGUCUGAGAGGAUGAUCAGCCACACUGGGACUGAGACACGGCCCAGACUCCUACGGGAGGCAGCAGUGGGGAAUAUUGGACAAUGGGCGCAAGCCUGAUCCAGCCAUGCCGCGUGAGUGAUGAAGGCCCUAGGGUUGUAAAGCUCUUUCAACGGUGAAGAUAAUGACGGUAACCGUAGAAGAAGCCCCGGCUAACUUCGUGCCAGC